GUCCCAGUUCGGAUUGUAGUCUGCAACCCGACUACAUGAAGCUGGAAUCGCUAGUAAUCGCGAAUCAGCAUGUCGCGGUGAAUACGUUCCCGGGUCUUGUACACACCGCCCGUCACACCAUGGGAGUUGGUAACGCCCGAAGUCAGUGACCUAACCGCAAGGGGAGGAGCUGCCGAAGGUGGGGCCAGUAACUGGGGUGAAGUCGUAACAAGGUAGC
Molecule: ribosomal RNA, 217 nt
Filed under: uncultured bacterium
Lineage: Bacteria
Description: partial 16S ribosomal RNA
Rfam family: Bacterial small subunit ribosomal RNA
Source: RNAcentral